UUUUUAUGGAGAGUUUGAUCCUGGCUCAGGAUGAACGCUGGCGGCGUGCCUAAUACAUGCAAGUCGAGCGAACAGACGAGGAGCUUGCUCCUCUGACGUUAGCGGCGGACGGGUGAGUAACACGUGGAUAACCUACCUAUAAGACUGGGAUAACUUCGGGAAACCGGAGCUAAUACCGGAUAAUAUAUUGAACCGCAUGGUUCAAUAGUGAAAGACGGUUUUGCUGUCACUUAUAGAUGGAUCCGCGCCGCAUUAGCUAGUUGGUAAGGUAACGGCUUACCAAGGCAACGAUGCGUAGCCGACCUGAGAGGGUGAUCGGCCACACUGGAAC
Molecule: ribosomal RNA, 331 nt
Filed under: Staphylococcus epidermidis NIH051668
Lineage: Bacteria; Bacillati; Bacillota; Bacilli; Caryophanales; Staphylococcaceae
Description: bacterial SSU rRNA
Rfam family: Bacterial small subunit ribosomal RNA
Source: RNAcentral